RNAcentral lists this unclassified non-coding RNA (234 nucleotides) under plant metagenome. RNAcentral describes it as "partial contains small subunit ribosomal RNA, internal transcribed spacer 1, and 5.8S ribosomal RNA". The record is from RNAcentral.
UUUCCGUAGGUGAACCUGCGGAAGGAUCAUUAAAGUUAUAGUCCCCCGGCCCUCCGGGCUGGGGUCUUCUAUACCACCCUUUGUUUAUUACACCUUUGUUGCUUUGGCAAGCCUGCCCUCGGGCUGCUGGCUCCGGCCGGCUCGCGUCUGCCAGAGGACCUAAACUCUGUUUGUAUAUGAAGUCUGAGUACUAUAUAAUAGUUAAAACUUUCAACAACGGAUCUCUUGGUUCUG